GACUACUGGGGUAUCUAAUCCUGUUCGAUCCCCACGCUUUCGUGCCUCAGCGUCAAUAAAAGACCAGAUAGCUGCCUUCGCAAUUGGUGUUCUAUGGCAUAUCUAUGCAUUUCACCGCUACAUGCCACAUUCCGCCAUCCUCAUCCUUAUUCAAGAUAACCAGUAUCCAAGGCAAUUUUAUCGUUAAGCGACAAACUUUCACCUUAGACUUAAUCAUCCGCCUACGCACCCUUUAAACCCAGUAAUUCCGGAUAACGCUCGCACCCUCCGUAUUACCGCGGCUGCUGGCACGGAGUUAGCCGGUGCUUAUUCUGAUGGUACCGUCAGUACCAGAUACAUCUAGCAUUUUCUUCCCAUCUAAAAGAAGUUUACAACCCAUAGGGCCUUCAUCCUCCACGCGGAAUGGCUGGUUCACCCUUGCGGGCAUUGACCAAUAUUCCUUACUGCAGCCCCCCGUAGG
RNAcentral lists this ribosomal RNA (460 nucleotides) under uncultured Bacteroidota bacterium. RNAcentral's name for it is "uncultured Bacteroidetes bacterium partial 16S ribosomal RNA". Lineage: Bacteria; Pseudomonadati; Bacteroidota. The record is from RNAcentral.